UCAGAUUGAACGCUAGCGGGAUGCCUUACACAUGCAAGUCGAACGGCAGCACGGACUUCGGUCUGGUGGCGAGUGGCGAACGGGUGAGUAAUGUAUCGGAACGUGCCUAGUAGCGGGGGAUAACUACGCGAAAGCGUAGCUAAUACCGCAUACGCCCUACGGGGGAAAGCAGGGGAUCGCAAGACCUUGCACUAUUAGAGCGGCCGAUAUCGGAUUAGCUAGUUGGUGGGGUAACGGCUCACCAAGGCGACGAUCCGUAGCUGGUUUGAGAGGACGACCAGCCACACUGGGACUGAGACACGGCCCAGACUCCUACGGGAGGCAGCAGUGGGGAAUUUUGGACAAUGGGGGAAACCCUGAUCCAGCCAUCCCGCGUGUGCGAUGAAGGCCUUCGGGUUGUAAAGCACUUUUGGCAGGAAAGAAACGUCAUGGGUUAAUACCCCGUGAAACUGACGGUACCUGCAGAAUAAGCACCGGCUAACUACGUGCCAGCAGCCGCGGUAAUACGUAGGGUGCAAGCGUUAAUCGGAAUUACUGGGCGUAAAGCGUGCGCAGGCGGUUCGGAAAGAAAGAUGUGAAAUCCCAGAGCUUAACUUUGGAACUGCAUUUUUAACUACCGAGCUAGAGUGUGUCAGAGGGAGGUGGAAUUCCGCGUGUAGCAGUGAAAUGCGUAGAUAUGCGGAGGAACACCGAUGGCGAAGGCAGCCUCCUGGGAUAACACU
Molecule: ribosomal RNA, 722 nt
Filed under: Achromobacter sp. 110602_136_C_A7
Lineage: Bacteria; Pseudomonadati; Pseudomonadota; Betaproteobacteria; Burkholderiales; Alcaligenaceae
Description: bacterial SSU rRNA
Rfam family: Bacterial small subunit ribosomal RNA
Source: RNAcentral